UACGUAGGGUGCGAGCGUUGUCCGGAAUUAUUGGGCGUAAAGAGCUCGUAGGCGGCUUGUCACGUCGGAUGUGAAAGCCCGGGGCUUAACCCCGGGUCUGCAUUCGAUACGGGCAGGCUAGAGUUCGGUAGGGGAGAUCGGAAUUCCUGGUGUAGCGGUGAAAUGCGCAGAUAUCAGGAGGAACACCGGUGGCGAAGGCGGAUCUCUGGGCCGAUACUGACGCUGAGGAGCGAAAGCGUGGGGAGCGAACAGGAUUAGAAACCCCAGUAGUCC
Molecule: ribosomal RNA, 273 nt
Filed under: uncultured bacterium
Lineage: Bacteria
Description: partial 16S ribosomal RNA
Rfam family: Bacterial small subunit ribosomal RNA
Source: RNAcentral